AAAUUGAAGAGUUUGAUCAUGGCUCAGAUUGAACGCUGGCGGCAGGCCUAACACAUGCAAGUCGAACGGUAGCACAGAGAGCUUGCUCUCGGGUGACGAGUGGCGGACGGGUGAGUAAUGUCUGGGAAACUGCCUGAUGGAGGGGGAUAACUACUGGAAACGGUAGCUAAUACCGCAUAAUGUCGCAAGACCAAAGAGGGGGACCUUCGGGCCUCUUGCCAUCAGAUGUGCCCAGAUGGGAUUAGCUAGUAGGUGGGGUAACGGCUCACCUAGGCGACGAUCCCUAGCUGGUCUGAGAGGAUGACCAGCCACACUGGAACUGAGACACGGUCCAGACUCCUACGGGAGGCAGCAGUGGGGAAUAUUGCACAAUGGGCGCAAGCCUGAUGCAGCCAUGCCGCGUGUAUGAAGAAGGCCUUCGGGUUGUAAAGUACUUUCAGCGGGGAGGAAGGUGUUGUGGUUAAUAACCGCAGCAAUUGACGUUACCCGCAGAAGAAGCACCGGCUAACUCCGUGCCAGCAGCCGCGGUAAUACGGAGGGUGCAAGCGUUAAUCGGAAUUACUGGGCGUAAAGCGCACGCAGGCGGUCUGUCAAGUCGGAUGUGAAAUCCCCGGGCUCAACCUGGGAACUGCAUUCGAAACUGGCAGGCUAGAGUCUUGUAGAGGGGGGUAGAAUUCCAGGUGUAGCGGUGAAAUGCGUAGAGAUCUGGAGGAAUACCGGUGGCGAAGGCGGCCCCCUGGACAAAGACUGACGCUCAGGUGCGAAAGCGUGGGGAGCAAACAGGAUUAGAUACCCUGGUAGUCCACGCCGUAAACGAUGUCGACUUGGAGGUUGUUCCCUUGAGGAGUGGCUUCCGGAGCUAACGCGUUAAGUCGACCGCCUGGGGAGUACGGCCGCAAGGUUAAAACUCAAAUGAAUUGACGGGGGCCCGCACAAGCGGUGGAGCAUGUGGUUUAAUUCGAUGCAACGCGAAGAACCUUACCUACUCUUGACAUCCAGAGAACUUAGCAGAGAUGCUUUGGUGCCUUCGGGAACUCUGAGACAGGUGCUGCAUGGCUGUCGUCAGCUCGUGUUGUGAAAUGUUGGGUUAAGUCCCGCAACGAGCGCAACCCUUAUCCUUUGUUGCCAGCGGUCCGGCCGGGAACUCAAAGGAGACUGCCAGUGAUAAACUGGAGGAAGGUGGGGAUGACGUCAAGUCAUCAUGGCCCUUACGAGUAGGGCUACACACGUGCUACAAUGGCGCAUACAAAGAGAAGCGACCUCGCGAGAGCAAGCGGACCUCAUAAAGUGCGUCGUAGUCCGGAUUGGAGUCUGCAACUCGACUCCAUGAAGUCGGAAUCGCUAGUAAUCGUAGAUCAGAAUGCUACGGUGAAUACGUUCCCGGGCCUUGUACACACCGCCCGUCACACCAUGGGAGUGGGUUGCAAAAGAAGUAGGUAGCUUAACCUUCGGGAGGGCGCUUACCACUUUGUGAUUCAUGACUGGGGUGAAGUCGUAACAAGGUAACCGUAGGGGAACCUGCGGUUGGAUCACCUCCUUACCUUAAAGAA
RNAcentral lists this ribosomal RNA (1550 nucleotides) under Leclercia adecarboxylata. RNAcentral describes it as "bacterial SSU rRNA". It matches the Rfam family "Bacterial small subunit ribosomal RNA". The record is from RNAcentral. Lineage: Bacteria; Pseudomonadati; Pseudomonadota; Gammaproteobacteria; Enterobacterales; Enterobacteriaceae.